GCGCCCUUAGCUUAAUCGGAUAGAGCGCUGGCCUCCUAAGCCAACGGUUACAGGUUCAAUUCCUGUAGGGCGUG
RNAcentral lists this transfer RNA (74 nucleotides) under Vermamoeba vermiformis. RNAcentral describes it as "tRNA-Arg". It matches the Rfam family "tRNA". From Rfam's summary of the family: Transfer RNA (tRNA) molecules are approximately 80 nucleotides in length. Their secondary structure includes four short double-helical elements and three loops (D, anti-codon, and T loops). Further hydrogen bonds mediate the characteristic L-shaped molecular structure. tRNAs have two regions of fundamental functional importance: the anti-codon, which is responsible for specific mRNA codon recognition, and the 3' end, to which the tRNAs corresponding amino acid is attached (by aminoacyl-tRNA synthetases). tRNAs cope with the degeneracy of the genetic code in two manners: having more than one tRNA (with a specific anti-codon) for a particular amino acid; and 'wobble' base-pairing, i.e. permitting non-standard base-pairing at the 3rd anti-codon position. Lineage: Eukaryota; Tubulinea; Echinamoebida; Vermamoebidae. The record is from RNAcentral. RNAcentral also lists the same sequence under 2 other names.